This 373-nucleotide ribosomal RNA is filed under the name uncultured organism. Its description in RNAcentral is "partial 16S ribosomal RNA". It matches the Rfam family "Bacterial small subunit ribosomal RNA", at positions 527 to 896 of the family's 1533-position model. The record is from RNAcentral.
GUAGGUGGCAAGCGUUGUCCGGAAUUAUUGGGCGUAAAGCGCGAGCAGGCGGUUCUUUAAGUCUGAUGUGAAAGCCCACGGCUCAACCGUGGAGGGUCAUUGGAAACUGGAGAACUUGAGUACAGAAGAGGAAAGCGGAAUUCCACGUGUAGCGGUGAAAUGCGUAGAGAUGUGGAGGAACACCAGUGGCGAAGGCGGCUUUCUGGUCUGUAACUGACGCUGAGGCGCGAAAGCGUGGGGAGCAAACAGGAUUAGAUACCCUGGUAGUCCACGCCGUAAACGAUGAGUGCUAAGUGUUAGGGGGGUUUUCCGCCCCCCUUAGUGCUGCAGCUAACGCAUUAAGCAUCCGCCUGGGAGUACGGCCGCAAGGCUG